CAAGUAACCCUUGACUGAGGAAUCACUUACUAAGCACAUUGCUGGGCUGUAUUGUGGUCAGGGAGCAGGCUGGUGGAGUAAAGAAGUUCAGGGAUGGCACAUCUCUUUUGAGUCACACAGCAACACCCAAACUCUGUUGCCAUUGUUGUAGGAAGAUUCUGCAUACAAGGAGAAGAUGAUUCAGGACUUGGAUAUACUUGCCCCCCCCCCCUUUUCCCUCUGGUCCUGUCUUGUCUCCCUUUCUUUGUCGAAUCUAUACCCGCUAAGACUUCAAAUGUCCUUCCUUUUUGCAUUUUUCUCUCUCUGGAUCCUUAUGGAGUUGGAAUUCAGAGCCCUCUGGUUAUUUCCCACUCUUUAUUUCUCUCCAUCUAGGAGUAAUGGACCAAAAUUCUUUUUAUUUUUAAUGUUUUCCUUUCUUUUAAAUUUUUUUGAAAUUAUUUUUAUUUAUUUAUUGGAUAGUGACAGCUAGAAACUGAGAGGGGAGGGGCCAAAACUCUUUAUGGGGUGCAGAAAGUGGGAGUUUUGGCUUCUGUAAUUGCUAGUCUGCUUGACAUGCGCAUUGGCAGGUGAAUCCAUACCCCCAGCCUGUUUCUAUCUUUCCCUAGUGGGCAGGGCUCUGGAGAGGACCUGGUAUGCAUGAACAGUAAUUUUUAAAGCACUUUAAAUGAAAAUGGAAGUUUAUUGCUGGUGUUUUGUGACUGACCUGAUGAAAAUGAUCGUGCUUGGGUUUCAUCUUUAGUAAACUGAGCAUAUUGUAAGAAUAUGUAGGAUUAGAACGAAUAUACAGUUUCCAUGCUUACAACAUGAUGGUUGGAUUAAGUAGUCAUAAGAUAUAUUCAAUGGGGACUGGGUGGUGGCGCAUCUGGUUGAGCGCACAUGUUACAGUGCACAAGGACCCAGGUUCAAGCCCCCGUUCCCCACCUGCAGGGCGAAAGCUUCACAAGUGGUAAAGCAGGGGUGCAGGUGUCUCUCUGUCUCCCUGUCUCCCCCUUCCUCUCAAUUUCUGGCUGUCU
This is a long non-coding RNA of Erinaceus europaeus (western European hedgehog), 1013 nucleotides long. RefSeq lists it as uncharacterized. The record is from RefSeq and is a predicted model, not a curated record. Lineage: Eukaryota; Metazoa; Chordata; Mammalia; Eulipotyphla; Erinaceidae. The transcript has 3 exons.